CCUGGUGACCCUGAGGAAAUCAGAGAAUGAAAUCCAGGCUGAGGAGGCCGGAGGUGUAUUCUGCAGGCUGUUUCUGUCUCCAGAUGCCUUUGUUGAUGGACAGCUGCGGAUCUUCUCCUCCACACUUGUCUCUCUAGGCACAGCCGACCCAAGCUCCUAGCAUCGACUGUGCUUUCCCCGAAUGCACCCUCUGGGGUGAGAGGCAAAGUAUUCGGAGUCCAAAGAGCUCCUGCCCACCUCGUAAGCAUAAGAGCAUGGAUCUGCAGCAGGACUUUGACGUCAAGAGAAGUGGCCUGGCGAAGGCAGUUGCACAGCUGUGACCGUGGCCAGUGGAGGCUAGGCCGGCAGCAGGGCCCUCCUAGAUCUUCCCUUCAGCAUUCUUGGGGGGCAGGGGCCAUGCAGCCCGAGGGCCUCUGCUUGGCCUGACCCCUGGGGGGCUCCGGCCCAGUAACAGAAAUGCUGGGUUUAUCAAGCUCCUCGAUGCCCCGAUGCCUCCUGGCCCUCCUCCUCGUCCAGCUGCCAUCCAGCUAUGCAGGGCAGUUCCAAGUGGUGGGACCAGCACAUCCUCUCCGGGCCCUGGUCGGGGACGCAGUGGAGCUGCCCUGCCGCAUCUCUCCUGGGAAGAAUGCCUCGGGCAUGGAGGUGGGGUGGUACCGGCCCCCAUUCUCCAGGGUGGUCCACCUGUACCGCCAGGGCAGGGACCAGGACGCAGAGCAGGCCCCCGAGUACCGGGGGCGGACCGAGCUGCUGACGGAAGCCAUCGGGGAGGGGAAGGUGACCCUCAGGAUCCGGAACGUCAGGUUCUCUGACGAGGGCGGCUUCACCUGCUUCUUCCGAGACCAUUCUUACCAAGAGGAGGCGGCGGUGGCGUUAAAAGUGGAAGAUCCCUUCUACUGGAUCAGCCCCGGAGUGCUGGUCCUCAUCGCCGUGCUGCCCGUGCUCCUCCUGCAGAUCUCCGUGGGCUUGGUCUUCCUCUGCCUGCAGCACAGACUGAGAGGGAAACUUCGAGCUGAAAUAGAGAAUCUGCACCGGACUUUUGACACUGUCUAGCUGAGGUGAGACAUACCGGAACAGGAAAACAAAGCCCACACCAUCUCCUGUCCUCUGACCGAAUGAGCUCGACUCAGGGCUUCUGGAGGAAGACAAGGCCACCACACCCCACUAGAAAUCGAUCCCUUUUCUUAUUACUCCAGACUAUCCAGUGCCUAAACCCAAGGACAACAGAAGAGCCUGCAGGUGUUUGUGUUUCUGGAGAGGAUAUCUCACUAUGCAGCUCCGGCUGGCCUUGAACUCGCCAUGUAGCCCAGGCUGGCUUUGAACUUGCAGUGAUCCUCCUGCCUCAGCCUCUGAGUGCUGGGAUUACAGGCCUGGCUGAGUAUGAGAUCGGAACACCGUUUAUAUCAGCAGCAGACCCCUUCAAGAAUGUUUCUGUUCUUCAGGGCAGGCUAUGGAGACCUGGGCCUUGUAUAUGCUAGACAGGUGCUCUCCCAUGAGCCACAUCCCUGGCCCCACAGUAACGUUUGUAAAUGAACACAUAAAAUAGUGUGUGUGUGUGUGUGUCACAGGAUCACAAAGUCAUUACAUUGAAAGUUAUCAACAUCUGAAGAAAUCUGAUAUAACACAUUGCUUUAAGUAACAAAAGUAAUGCAUUAAAUAAUGUAGCAGCAACCCUAAUAAUGUAAUUUCAAAAUAUAACAUAAGCAGGGCCGGGGAUUUAGCUCAGUGGUUCUGCCGCCUGCCUCACAAGUGCAAGGACCUGAGUUCGAUCCCCGGUACCAAAAAAAAAAAAAUACAUAAACAUAACAAAAUAAACAUAAACAGUAUCUGGAGAUUUCUGUAACAACUUUAAUGGAAAAAAAAAAAAUGGGAACAAUGAGCCAGAUUCAGAAAGACAAGAAUCUUGUGUUUUCCCAAAUGUGGAAUCUAGGAAUAAUAAAAAAGUCAUGAAAGUAGAGACUGUUAGAUAAGAAAAAGGGUAUCAGGAAGAGGGUUUGUGGGAUGGAUGUGAUCAAUGUUGCAUGCAUGUAUAAAAAGGCCACAAAAUGCAGUAUUUUGCUCAAUUUAACAUGGCCAGUUAUCUACUUCUGUAUAUAUCUAUCAUCUGUGAUUUCCACUGGUGAUUCACAGGUACCACUGAUUUGUGGGUUUUGGUGUCUGCAGUUCUAGAGACUGAACAGGGGGCCAACAGGUGCCAGGCAAGCCCUCUACCACGGAAGCACAUCCUCAGCACUGGUGCAUUUGCGUGUGUGCACGUGUGUGUGCGCACCUGGUAGUGGGGACUGAACCCAGAGGUUCACCACUGAGCUACAUCCCCCAUCCCUUUUUAUGAGACAAGGUCUAAGUGGCCAAGCCUGGCCUCAAACUUGCGAACCUCUGGCCUCAGUCUCUACAGUAGCUGGGAUUACUGCCAUGCAUCACUGGGCCCAAUUUAUUGCUUGUAUUUUAAUGAAGAAAGUCCUUGCUGAGCAUGGUGAUGCAUGCCUGUAAUCCCAGCACUUGAAAGGCUGAGACAGGAGGAUCAUGAGUUCAAAGUCAGCCUGAACUACACAGAGUUCAAGGCUAGCCUGGACUCCAUAGAGACCCCGUCUCAAAAAAAAAAAAAAGAGUAUGCUAAAUCUAGCUAGGUAAGGUGGCACGCCUGUAAUCCCAGCACGCAGGAGGCGGAGGCAGGAGGAUCACUGUGAGUUCCAGGCCAGCCUGGGGUACACAGUGAGUUCAAGACAGCCUAAAAUACAGGGAGACCUUGUUUCAACCCCACACACACCACAAAAUAAGAAAUCCAAUAAAAAACCAGGUGUGGUGGCACACCUGUAAUCUCAGCUACUUAGGAGGCUGAGGCAGCAGGAUCAAAUUCCAGUCUAGCCUAAGUAACUUUGUGAGAACUUGUCUCAACAAAUACAUACUUUUCUAAAGGGCUAAGGAUGUAGCUUAGUGAUAGAGCUUGCCUAGGAUGUGUGAAGCCCAGGUUCAAUCCCCAGUGAACUGAAAAGAAAAAGAAAAGGAAGGAAAAACCCAAUGAGGAGGAAAAAGCUGGGUAGGGCACAAAGCAAAACAUAUUAACCUCGCUUGUUCUGGUGGGUAAUCCAGAUGCCCACUUCCUGAGGGUGCCCUGCUGGAAGAUAAGCCUGUUUGUGAUCGUGCCGGUUCUUGGACCUCUGGUUGCCUUGAUCAUCUGCUACAACUGGCUACACCGAAGAUUAGCAGGGCAGUUUCUUGAGGAGCUAAGGAACCCCUUCUGAGGGGGCUGCGUCCUGGAGCGCCGGCUCCUUGGGGAUGCCUCGUCCACUGAGCUGCACGCCCCUCCUCUCUGCAGCAGAGACAUUUCAAUCCGCACUUGCAGACCACAAAUUUCAAAUGCAGCUGACUUCCGCUUGCCUUUUCCUCCCUCCCUCCCUCCCUCCCUGCCUCCCCUCCCCAUGUCUUGCUAUCCUCUCCAUCUCCAUCUCCCUCUGCCCAAGGCCAGGUGGGUGCUCUUCUCGCUGUCAGAGGACACCGUCUUGCAGGAUGACAGACCACAGGCCCUCGGCUGCUACCUGGAGAUCAGGUGCACCCUCCUCACACAGCAAAUGGCGGCUGCUGCUCUGAGACUGCGGCCCUGACUGGACAGAACUGAGGGGCAGGGGCAGAAGGCAAAGGACAGGGAAAUCCAAGUAUCACAGAGGAAGCUGAGAAAACUGCGGAGUACGGAUGCGGUGGACCUAACGCAAACCUGGAGCUGAGGAGACCCAAGAACUCAGGCCAGGGCUCCAUCCUGCGCAGCAGCCAAGGGAGGUGGCUGCGAAGGCGGAUCUGCCCGAGACGUUUGCCUCCUCCUGCCUGCACCCCUCAGCCUCACCUCACCUCUUUCCCCAUCUUUACACUUAUCAGAGCACCCACGGUUUUAUUCAACUACUGAUUAAAAAAAACAACCACUA
Heterocephalus glaber (naked mole-rat) is the source of this 3914-nucleotide non-coding RNA. The record is from RefSeq and is a predicted model, not a curated record. Lineage: Eukaryota; Metazoa; Chordata; Mammalia; Rodentia; Bathyergidae.